AUGAACGCUGGCGGCGUGCCUAAUACAUGCAAGUCGAGCGAACAGACGAGGAGCUUGCUCCUCUGACGUUAGCGGCGGACGGGUGAGUAACACGUGGAUAACCUACCUAUAAGACUGGGAUAACUUCGGGAAACCGGAGCUAAUACCGGAUAAUAUAUUGAACCGCAUGGUUCAAUAGUGAAAGACGGUUUUGCUGUCACUUAUAGAUGGAUCCGCGCCGCAUUAGCUAGUUGGUAAGGUAACGGCUUACCAAGGCAACGAUGCGUAGCCGACCUGAGAGGGUGAUCGGCCACACUCGAACUGAGACACGGUCCAGACUCCUACGGGAGGCAGCAGUAGGGAAUCUUCCGCAAUGGGCGAAAGCCUGACGGAGCAACGCCGCGUGAGUGAUGAAGGUCUUCGGAUCGUAAAACUCUGUUAUUAGGGAAGAACAAAUGUGUAAGUAACUAUGCACGUCUUGACGGUACCUAAUCAGAAAGCCACGGCUAACUACGUG
RNAcentral lists this ribosomal RNA (496 nucleotides) under uncultured bacterium. Its description in RNAcentral is "partial 16S ribosomal RNA". It matches the Rfam family "Bacterial small subunit ribosomal RNA", at positions 29 to 507 of the family's 1533-position model. The record is from RNAcentral.